Molecule: transfer RNA, 71 nt
Filed under: Salmo salar (Atlantic salmon)
Lineage: Eukaryota; Metazoa; Chordata; Actinopteri; Salmoniformes; Salmonidae
Rfam family: tRNA
About the family: Transfer RNA (tRNA) molecules are approximately 80 nucleotides in length. Their secondary structure includes four short double-helical elements and three loops (D, anti-codon, and T loops).
Source: Rfam by way of RNAcentral
GCGUUGGUGGUUCAGUGGUAGAAUUCUCGCCUGCCAUGUGGGAGGCUCGGGUUUGAUUCUCAGCCUAUGCA